GCCUAGUUAGCUUGGUUGCUAAAGCCUCUGCCUUGUAAGCGCUAGGCCGCGGGUUCGAUUCCUGUCCUGGGCA
RNAcentral lists this transfer RNA (73 nucleotides) under Diaphorina citri (Asian citrus psyllid). It matches the Rfam family "tRNA". From Rfam's summary of the family: Transfer RNA (tRNA) molecules are approximately 80 nucleotides in length. Their secondary structure includes four short double-helical elements and three loops (D, anti-codon, and T loops). Lineage: Eukaryota; Metazoa; Arthropoda; Insecta; Hemiptera; Psyllidae. The record is from Rfam by way of RNAcentral.